Hyaena hyaena (striped hyena) is the source of this 104-nucleotide small nuclear RNA. NCBI's taxonomy places the organism in Eukaryota, Metazoa, Chordata, Mammalia, Carnivora, Hyaenidae. The record is from RefSeq and is a predicted model, not a curated record.
AUGCUUGCUUUGGCAGCUUGGAUAUUAAAAUUGGAGCCACACAGAGAUUAGCAUGGCCCCUGUACAAGGAUGACAUGCAAAUUUGUGAAGCGCUCCAUAAAAAA